UAGGGGAUAUUGCACAAUGGGCGGAAGCCUGAUGCAGCAACGCCGCGUGAGUGAUGAAGGCCCUCGGGUCGUAAAACUCUUUUCAAGAGGAAGAGGAAGGACGGUACUCUUGGAAUAAGCCUCGGCUAACUACGUGCCAGCAGCCGCGGUAACACGUAGGAGGCGAGCGUUAUUCGGAUUUACUGGGCGUAAAGCGCGUGUAGGCGGCUGAUCAAGUUGGAUGUGAAAGCUCCCGGCUUAACUGGGAGAGGACGUUCAAAACUGAACAG
RNAcentral lists this ribosomal RNA (269 nucleotides) under uncultured bacterium. RNAcentral's name for it is "partial 16S ribosomal RNA". It matches the Rfam family "Bacterial small subunit ribosomal RNA", at positions 355 to 640 of the family's 1533-position model. The record is from RNAcentral.